UGGAUUUAUUAUGUCAGUUAUUUUAUUCCUGGCCCUCAACCUAUGAAAUGCACUACUAUAUGACCAACAGCCUCGAUAAACUUAACAGACCAACCUUCAUUCAUAUGUACUACAUCCUCUGAACUAUGCUUUUACAAACAUUGAAUGGAGACAUUAAGAACUCCAAAACCAAAAAGUACUACGAGUUUGUAUCCUGAAACUCCCUGCAGAUAUAUCUGCAGAAUACUCAUGUCACAAUAUUAAAAAUUAGUCA
Amblyraja radiata (thorny skate) is the source of this 253-nucleotide long non-coding RNA. RefSeq lists it as uncharacterized. The transcript has 3 exons. NCBI's taxonomy places the organism in Eukaryota, Metazoa, Chordata, Chondrichthyes, Rajiformes, Rajidae. The record is from RefSeq and is a predicted model, not a curated record.